GUGCCUCAGGGAUGAAUGAGUCCCUUAAAUUCAUCCAUCUGUUCACUUUGUCAGCGGUCUUUUUGGUUAUUUGCUGAUCAUUAGAGGGUGGAAUAUUU
This 98-nucleotide small nucleolar RNA is filed under the name Macleaya cordata. RNAcentral's name for it is "Small nucleolar RNA snoR99". It matches the Rfam family "Small nucleolar RNA snoR99". Lineage: Eukaryota; Viridiplantae; Streptophyta; Magnoliopsida; Ranunculales; Papaveraceae. The record is from Rfam by way of RNAcentral.